Molecule: ribosomal RNA, 612 nt
Filed under: uncultured bacterium
Lineage: Bacteria
Description: bacterial SSU rRNA
Rfam family: Bacterial small subunit ribosomal RNA (bases 1-536)
Source: RNAcentral
CCUACGGGAGGCAGCAGUAAGGAAUAUUGGUCAAUGGAGGCAACUCUGAACCAGCCACGCCGCGUGCAGGAUGACGGCCCUAUGGGUUGUAAACUGCUUUUAUACAAGAGAAAACCCUGGUACGUGUACCAGGUUGAUAGUAUUGUAAGAAUAAGCAUCGGCUAACUUCGUGCCAGCAGCCGCGGUAAGACGAAGGAUGCAAGCGUUAUCCGGAUUCAUUGGGUUUAAAGGGUGCGUAGGCGGACUGAUAAGUCAGUGGUGAAAUCUCUUUGCUUAACAAAGAAACUGCCAUUGAUACUGUCGGUCUAGAGUAUAGAUGACGUUGGCGGAAUAUGACAUGUAGUGGUGAAAUACUUAGAUAUGUCAUAGAACACCGAUUGCGAAGGCAGCUAACGAAACUAUAACUGACGCUGAGGCACGAAAGUGCGGGGAUCAAACAGGAUUAGAUACCCUGGUAGUCCGCACCGUAAACGAUGAUUGCUCGUUGUUGGCGAUAUGACAGUCAGCGACCAAGCGAAAGCGAUAAGUAAUCCGACGUUGGAGUACGCGGCGACGAGACGACGAAGAAGUUAGACGGCGNGAGAGNGCGACGGACGACGACGAGGGAGGAGG